This 206-nucleotide unclassified non-coding RNA is filed under the name soil metagenome. RNAcentral's name for it is "partial contains 5.8S ribosomal RNA, internal transcribed spacer 2, and large subunit ribosomal RNA". The record is from RNAcentral.
AAGACUAUAGACCUGCGGAGUACCUGCGGAAGGAUCAUUAACGUUGGGGACUAACAAUCCCUCAGCGAGAUAGAACCCUUGCCUUUUCGAGUACCACACGUUUCCUCGGCAGGUACGCCUGCCAAUGGGGACCACAACAAAACCUUUUGUAAUAGCAGUAGACGUCUUAAAAACAAAACUUUUAAAACUUUCAGCAAUGGAUCUCU